GACGAACGCUGGCGGCGUGCCUAAUACAUGCAAGUCGAGCGAAGCGGCGGAUGGGUGAGUACCGCGUGGGUAACCUGCCCUUCAGUUUGGGAUAGCAGUUGGAAACAGAUGCUAAUACAGGAUACUAAGGGAUGGACCUGCGAUGCAUUAGCUAGUUGGGAAGGUAACGGCUUACCACGGCGAGGAUGCAUAGCCGAGUUGAGAGACUGACCAGCCACACUGGAACUGAGACACGGUCCAGACUCCUACGGGAGGCAGCAGUGGGGAAUAUUGCACAAUGGGCGCAAGCCUGAUGCAGCCAUGCCGCGUGUAUGAAGAAGGCCUUCGGGUUGUAAAGUACUUUCAGCGAGGAGGCGUUACUCGCAGAAGAAGCACCGGCUAACUCCGUGCCAGCAGCCGCGGUAAUAC
This 408-nucleotide ribosomal RNA is filed under the name uncultured bacterium. RNAcentral describes it as "partial 16S ribosomal RNA". It matches the Rfam family "Bacterial small subunit ribosomal RNA", at positions 28 to 526 of the family's 1533-position model. The record is from RNAcentral.